RNAcentral lists this small RNA (543 nucleotides) under Pan troglodytes (chimpanzee). Its description in RNAcentral is "processed transcript". The record is from RNAcentral. Lineage: Eukaryota; Metazoa; Chordata; Mammalia; Primates; Hominidae.
AUAUGUAGAUCUUCUUACAUAUGAGAAAUGAACAUUGCUUCACUCUCUUGUCUUCUGUAGAGUCUACCAGAUGCUGUUAACUGAGUACUUGGAUAUGAAAAAUACUCGUACGGCCUCUGAACCAUCAGCUCAACUAAGCUAUGCCAGCACUGGACGAGAGUUUGCGGCCUUUUUUGCCAAGAAGAAACCUCAAAGGCCAAAAAAUUCUCUUUUCAAGUUCGAAUCGUCCUCCCAUGCCAUCAGUAUGAGCGCCUAUCUGCGAGAACAGAGAAGGGAGCUCUAUAGUCGGAGUGGAGAACUGCAAGGGGGUCCUGAUGACAACUUAAUUGAAGGUGGAGGAACAAAAUUUGUCUGCAAACCUGGAGCCAGAAACAUUACCGUCAUAUUCCACCCAUUACUAAGAUUUAUUCAGGAGAUUGAGCAUGCUCUGGGUCUUGGCCCAGCCAAACAGUGUCCUCUUCGAGAGUUUCUCACCGUGUACAUCAAAAACAUCUUUCUCAAUCAAGUCUUGGCUGAGAUCAACAAGGAGAUUGAAGGAGUCAC